Molecule: small RNA, 455 nt
Filed under: Vigna angularis var. angularis
Lineage: Eukaryota; Viridiplantae; Streptophyta; Magnoliopsida; Fabales; Fabaceae
Description: Non-protein coding transcript
Source: RNAcentral
GGAAAAGAUCCCUGUCACAUGUCAAGCAAUGGGUAUAUGAUAACAUUUGGAAUAGCAGAAGUGAUUUUUUCCCAAAUCCCAGACUUUGAUCAGGUGUGGUGGCUAUCCAUAGUCGCGGCCAUUAUGUCCUUCACGUAUUCUUCAGUUGGAUUGAGUCUUGGCGUGGCGAAAGUGGCAGAAAACAAAACUUUUAAAGGAAGCAUGCUGGGAAUUAGCAUUGGCACAGUGACACAAGCUGGAACAGUAACUGGCACGCAGAAAAUAUGGAGAAGUUUACAAGCUCUGGGAGCAAUGGCCUUUGCAUACUCUUUUUCCAUUAUCCUGAUCGAAAUUCAGGACACCAUAAAAUCUCCUCCUGCAGAGCACAAGACCAUGAGAAAAGCCACAGCCUUGAGCAUCGCAGUUACCACAGUGUUCUAUUUACUCUGUGGAUGCAUGGGGUAUGCAGCUUUCGG